AGUCAGCCAGGUGGUCGCUGUGUGUUUGUGAUGAACACAGAGAGGAAAGUCCGAGCAUCAAAAGAACAGAGUGCCAGUUAACGGCUGGUGAAGGUGACUUCAAGGAUAGUGCAACAGAAAUAGACUUCUGGGCAAAGUGCUCAGUAAAGGUGGAAAGGUAGGGUAAGAGCCUACCGGAUGAUUGGUAACAAUCAUUGCUCUGUAAACCCCACUCGAUGCAAGGUUAAGUCUUUCGCACAUGUGCGUUCUUUCACGCGAAAGCAAAAAUACCGCUGGAACUUGUUGGCGACAACAAGUCUGGAAAGAUGACUGCCAAAUACAGAACUCGGCUUAUAGACUGGCUG
This 344-nucleotide RNase P RNA is filed under the name chicken gut metagenome. RNAcentral's name for it is "Bacterial RNase P class A". It matches the Rfam family "Bacterial RNase P class A". Rfam says of the family: Ribonuclease P (RNase P) is a ubiquitous endoribonuclease, found in archaea, bacteria and eukarya as well as chloroplasts and mitochondria. Its best characterised activity is the generation of mature 5'-ends of tRNAs by cleaving the 5'-leader elements of precursor-tRNAs. The record is from RNAcentral.